RNAcentral lists this ribosomal RNA (425 nucleotides) under uncultured bacterium. Its description in RNAcentral is "partial 16S ribosomal RNA". It matches the Rfam family "Bacterial small subunit ribosomal RNA", at positions 354 to 796 of the family's 1533-position model. The record is from RNAcentral.
GUGGGGAAUCUUGCGCAAUGGGCGAAAGCCUGACGCAGCCAUGCCGCGUGAAUGGUGAAGGUCUUAGGAUUGUAAAAUUCUUUCACCGGGGACGAUAAUGACGGUACCCGGAGAAGAAGCUCCGGCUAACUUUGUGCCAGCAGCCGCGGUAAUACGAAGGGGGCUAGCGUUGCUCGGAAUUACUGGGCGUAAAGGGCGCGUAGGCGGACAGCUUAGUCAGAGGUGAAAGCCCAGGGCUCAACCUUGGAAUUGCCUUUGAUACUGGCUGUCUUGAGUUUGGGAGAGGUGAGUGGAACUCCGAGUGUAGAGGUGAAAUUCGUAGAUAUUCGGAAGAACACCAGUGGCGAAGGCGACUCACUGGCCCAAUACUGACGCUGAGGCGCGAAAGCGUGGGGAGCAAACAGGAUUAGAUACCCUGGUAGUCC